Molecule: ribosomal RNA, 78 nt
Filed under: Eurytoma setigera
Lineage: Eukaryota; Metazoa; Arthropoda; Insecta; Hymenoptera; Eurytomidae
Description: partial 5.8S rRNA
Source: RNAcentral
GGACACAUGAACAUCGACAUUUCGAACGCACAUUGCGGUCCACGGAUCCGAUUCCCGGACCACGCCUGGCUGAGGGUC